This 537-nucleotide ribosomal RNA is filed under the name uncultured bacterium. RNAcentral describes it as "partial 16S ribosomal RNA". It matches the Rfam family "Bacterial small subunit ribosomal RNA", at positions 355 to 902 of the family's 1533-position model. The record is from RNAcentral.
UGGGGAAUAUUGCACAAUGGGCGAAAGCCUGAUGCAGCAACGCCGCGUGCGGGAUGACGGCCUUCGGGUUGUAAACCGCUUUCAGCAGGGACGAAGGUUUUCUGACGGUACCUGCAGAAGAAGCACCGGCUAACUACGUGCCAGCAGCCGCGGUGAUACGUAGGGUGCGAGCGUUGUCCGGAAUUAUUGGGCGUAAAGAGCUUGUAGGCGGUCCGUUGCGUCGGAAGUGAAAACUCAGGGCUUAACCCUGAGCCUGCUUUCGAUACGGGCGGACUUGAGGGAUGUAGGGGAGAACGGAAUUCCUGGUGGAGCGGUGGAAUGCGCAGAUAUCAGGAGGAACACCAGUGGCGAAGGCGGUUCUCUGGACAUUUCCUGACGCUGAGAAGCGAAAGCGUGGGGAGCAAACAGGCUUAGAUACCCUGGUAGUCCACGCCGUAAACGGUGGGCACUAGGUGUGGGACCCAUUCCACGGGUUCCGUGCCGUAGCUAACGCAUUAAGUGCCCCGCCUGGGGAGUACGGCCGCAAGGCUAAAACUC